AAAUUGAAGAGUUUGAUCAUGGCUCAGAUUGAACGCUGGCGGCAGGCCUAACACAUGCAAGUCGAACGGUAACAGGGAUCAGCUUGCUGAUUUGCUGACGAGUGGCGGACGGGUGAGUAAUGUCUGGGAAACUGCCUGAUGGAGGGGGAUAACUACUGGAAACGGUAGCUAAUACCGCAUAA
Molecule: ribosomal RNA, 182 nt
Filed under: Escherichia coli
Lineage: Bacteria; Pseudomonadati; Pseudomonadota; Gammaproteobacteria; Enterobacterales; Enterobacteriaceae
Description: partial 16S ribosomal RNA
Rfam family: Bacterial small subunit ribosomal RNA
Source: RNAcentral